Molecule: long non-coding RNA, 371 nt
Filed under: Brassica rapa (field mustard)
Lineage: Eukaryota; Viridiplantae; Streptophyta; Magnoliopsida; Brassicales; Brassicaceae
Description: long non-coding RNA (BRAP_LNC002647)
Source: RNAcentral
AAAUACAUAUUUUAAAUUUAAGAUGGAUUUUAUAUCUCUUUUUCUUUUCUUUUUACUGAAAAUACAAAUCUGAAUAUGAAUAAAGUAACCAAGAUCAUCUGCAAUGAAAAAUAUCUUAAGUAUCAUGUAAAGAAAUUAAAAAAUGUAGCAAAAAAAUAAUAAUUAGAAAUUAAAAAUUAGAAAAAUGAAAAAUCAGGAGAGAAAGUAGAAAGAAUAUUUCGUGAGUUGAAAAAAUUAUUGAGAAACCCACUUAAAACAUGUCACAUUUUAAUUGGUCAAUAUAUAUAAUUAUUAAAAUAAAUAGUUGAGAAAGUUUUUAUGGAUGCUCUAACACAUCGCUUUUUUCCAACUGAUUAUAUUGAUCUAAGAUA